GUUGGCUGGUGGGGAUGUCAUGAAGCGUUCUGCUUCGGACCUGGGAAGGUUCGGGAUAAACAGAAUGUCAGGCCGCAUCCUGUUGAGGUCUGCGGCGGGCACUUGUGGGCAGAGCCAUGACGGCGGCCGCAUGCCCGCACAAUACUCAGGCAGUUCAGCUCGGGAGGUGGCAUCCAUUAUCAUGUAGCCACCACCGUUGUGACCAUG
Molecule: long non-coding RNA, 207 nt
Filed under: Chlamydomonas reinhardtii
Lineage: Eukaryota; Viridiplantae; Chlorophyta; Chlorophyceae; Chlamydomonadales; Chlamydomonadaceae
Description: long non-coding RNA (CREI_LNC000325)
Source: RNAcentral